Molecule: non-coding RNA, 3848 nt
Organism: Triticum urartu
Lineage: Eukaryota; Viridiplantae; Streptophyta; Magnoliopsida; Poales; Poaceae
Source: RefSeq, a predicted model, not a curated record
GGCGGCUGUGCUUCCGGUCGCGGUGGCUGUGCUUCCAGUCGCGUGGUGGCGAUGUGGCUGGUCGAGGGAACUCAGGUGAGGCGGACUGUCACCUGUUUGUCGAUCUGUGCCCACCUCCUAUUCUUUCUCUCCCAACGAACAUUACGUACACAGUUACUGCCACACAUGGCGCUCUCCUCUCCUGCAGCGAUCCUGUUGUGCUCCUUCACACAUCGGACCACCGUGGCGCGGAAGUAACCGUAGAAGAUCGCGGUCCGCUUAGCAAAUUCGGGUGUUUUGAGUCGGCUACCCGGCAAGGUAAUUUUUUCCUUCUCAGUAGUUCUCUCAUAGAAAUUGGGUGGAAUGGAUUCAUGGGUGUGCUAGGUGGAGUGCCAUUAGAUUGCAAUGUUAGCGGGCAGAAUAUCAUCUCCUGCACACACAAACUUGGGUUUGCCAAGGUAAUAGGUCAAUACUACUAUCAUUUGGCUUUGCAAUGGUCAUUUACAUAGUUCUGUUUUUUCGAAUCAUGAUGGUUUAGUUUGUUUGUUACCAGCUGCUUCAAUUAGGACUAACAGUUGGGAGUUGUCGAUUGGAUUGAAUUUGGAAGAGGACAAUAUAAUUUUUUUAUAGUUCGUGGUUCAGUUAGCUUUGAAAAAAAUGUUCCGGUGAUGAAUAAUACACAAUGAAUUGCUUUCUGUUGCCCAGUGUACUACAAUUUAAUAUGCAGAAUGUGAGCUUAAACUUUUUGCUGAGAAAAUGUCUGCUAAACUGCUAAUUCCCACAAGGAGUAAUUCAUUCCCCGUCCAAGUAUUUAUUAUUGAUUGAUGCUUCAUCUGUUUAUGCUGCAGAGGCAUGGUCACAUGGAUGAUUAGCAUCUUUUGGCAAAGCAUGUUAAUUCACUGAAGAAAGAUGUCCACACACAAAGAUGCUUGAUCUGUUUAUGCUUCAUCUGUUUAUGCUGCACACACAAAACUAUGAGCGAAGAUGUCCACUCAUGAUUUUUGAGGAUCACUUGAGGAUGUGAUCAGUAGUGCAGCUUCAAAGAUGCUUGAUAUGACAUAGCGUUUGAUUUUUACAAAUCUGAAAGUCGAGCCUAAGCAAUGUUACGGUUCAGAUCUAAACCUUAUAGUUACUGAUUAUCUGUUAUGCGUUACUAAUCUGACCGGCCAUCAAUCUCCACCUUAACCUUUUUUUAUCUUUCUUAUUAGCUCCAUGUCUCUAGCGUCUAUAGAGUCUUAACCCAAGAAUCUCUUCUGCCGCCUUGAGUCCAAACCCUCGGCAAGAGUCUCCCCUGCAUCCUCCUCUUCUCCUUGCUGCCUAUGUCUCCUUCUUUUGCUCCUCGGGUCGCUAUUGUGAUGCGUCCAUCGUCUUUUUCAUGAGCAGCUAGAUGAUUUCAGUCUGAGAUUACAUCCUCCUACAGAGAAUCCGACCCUUUCCAUGCUGUCACUAUAGCCAGGUCUAGCAAACUGGUCGUCCCGAUGGUGUUGGGGCUUUCCCUGAGUGGACGAUCUGGUCUUUUUUAUGCGAUGUCCAAAGAGUUGCUUGCUGCAAUGAUCAAUAAGGAGACUAAGAGUCAUGGGUCCCUUUUGGUGCUGAUCUAGGUAUGCGUUAUGUAUCCGAUUACAGUUGUUUUAAGUAGCCAACAUUGGCUGCAAAGCAACAUCUUAUCUAUUAGUUUUUCACCAAUCCGAUUAAUACUCUGUAGUUCAUUAUGUUCACAUGACAAAAGAAUUUGAAGUUAAUAAAAAAAAUCUGACUGUUACUCCAUGCAAUUAGUUGUAAUUAGAGGACACUGGGAAAUAAAGUUUCAAUCAGUCCACUGCUACUGUAUGCGAAUAGUUAUAUAAGUUGGUAUAUUUGAAGGAUGUGAAGAAAAAUCGUAGUAUUUACAACAGAAUCUUUUUUGCUUACAUAUUGAGAAUGCUCUCCAUGCAUGUUGUGGUCUUUGUUUCUUAAGCUCCCAAACUAAGCUUAAGGAGCCAUAUGGAGAUGGAGAUGGUCACACACCGACAGGUUAGGGAUUUUGAGGUCCAUCAUGGCGACUAUUUUGGGAAAAAAAUUAUGGUGCAAAUGAUAUGGUAAAGUUUAGAUGCAGAGGUGUGCAACUCUCUAUCCAUCAGCAUCCAUACAUCAGGGUGGAGUAGAGGAAGGGAGCAUUUACCAGAAAUGUGUUUUUAGCAGCAUUAUUUUUAGAUAAAACAAUUAUACCUUCUUUGAUCUGUAAGCUGCACACAGGGUAGAAGAUGCAAUUUGGUUUAGAAGAAUAAGAAAACACAUUCACACCAGGGCUUAUAAUUCUUAGGAUAGUAUCAGAAAGUAUAUGCAAUAUGGUUUAGGUAACAAAAACACAACAUUAUGUCUUCCUUUGGAAAAUUUGCCACUCUGAAGACAAACAGAAUUAUCACUUUCAUCUUAUUGCUGGUAUUUUCUUAAAGUAAGAAUAUAAACAAGAGAUGGGUUUAUAUGAAGCAGGCCUACCGCAACAGUCAAAAGAUGAUGUCUCAGUAUUUCACUUAAAAGCGAGGACAAGUGCCCAUAAAUGAUUAUAUUUAUCUACUUUAUUAAACUAGCAUAUUAACUAAUCCACCGAACACAUGUACUCUAUAUUCUUACUUAUUGCAUGACGUGCUUUUGCUUCUUGAUAAAUAUGUCCAUUUUCACUAUUAUUUUACAAUAUCUGCUACGUACAGUGGCAUCAUUGAGCAUUCCUUUACUUUUCACAUUUCAGUUCAAUGUUCUGCCCAGUGCACAGUAUAUAGCUACAUUGGAUGUCGCUAUUAAAUACUUCGAGGUCAUGUGACAGAGCAUGGAAAAAGAACUAUCGAAGGUAUGUUUUAUGCUCAUACUACGAUUUUGAGAUUCAGAUGCAGUUUUAUUUAGAACACUUUUUUAUCAUAAUAUUCAAUUCCAAUGCAUUUGGAAUGGGUCAAGUCAAUUGUAAGAGUUGAAUUAGCUACUUUGCCUUUGAGUCCUUUGUGGUUUAGUUGUAAUUUUUUAUUCAAUAAAUUCCUAAAUGCACCAUUUCUUAUGAGCAGUUUUUUUAAAAUCAAAAUCGCAAUGUUGUAUAUAUGUUUCAUGUCUCUCACGUCAAUCCUAAGAGGGCACAGGCUGGGUUCAAUAUUUUUAUCGUCAGAUCUAACCAUGAUGAAGGCAGGCCCCUCCGAUUGAUAUUAGGAAGGUGGAAGGUUGACCAGCCAUCUCUUCCUCUCCGUCGUCUCUCCAUGGUGUGCAUGUUAAGAACUUAUGCAGCAGCGGACGCCAAUUUCAUGCAGCCGCCAGCAUCAACUUCUGUGGAGUGCUCUUCUACGAUCUGAUACGAGUCCCUCCGACAUCAGAGAAGUGUAGGUUUGGGCAUGCCUGACGACAAAUCCAAUAAUCAAUUGCAAACUGAUCGUAUCGUACGUUGUGUACAAUCGACAUGUUUGCUUGGGUGGAAAAGUCUCGCUUCUGAUUACAGCGCUUUCAGAAGACAGAAGAAGUCGUUUGGUUCAGCCCUUCUAUUUUGUGUUACGAUACUAUCGGAUACAGCGCUUCACUUUGCUUCCGCGAAAACGUCCGGUCACGGCUGGAUACAGAAUCCUCUCUGCUACGCAUUCCCUCGCGGUCGAACCAAACAAAACGUGCAUUCAGGAGGAAAUAUCAGAGGCAAAGCUUCCCGACACUAAAAAUCGAAAACUAUACCAACGUGGAACCAAACGCCUCCUAUAUUUCUUCAGUUCCACUGGGAAAACAUAGAUUGAUUAUGUAUCAAUAAACCAUGUGUUAGUCAAGACAAAAACAUGGAUGUAAAGCUCAGGUUUGUUAAGUUUUUUGGUUGUACGUGUGACAUGGUUCAUAUACAUAUUGCUAGCUACUUUAUUUUUCGUUCA